This 429-nucleotide ribosomal RNA is filed under the name Bacteroidota bacterium. RNAcentral's name for it is "Bacteroidetes bacterium partial 16S ribosomal RNA". It matches the Rfam family "Bacterial small subunit ribosomal RNA", at positions 355 to 776 of the family's 1533-position model. Lineage: Bacteria; Pseudomonadati; Bacteroidota. The record is from RNAcentral.
UAGGGAAUCUUCGGCAAUGGGGGGAACCCUGACCGAGCAACGCCGCGUGAGUGAAGAAGGUUUUCGGAUCGUAAAGCUCUGUUGUUAAGGAAGAACGAGUGUGAGAAUGGAAAGUUCAUGCUGUGACGGUACUUAACCAGAAAGGGACGGCUAACUACGUGCCAGCAGCCGCGGUAAUACGUAGGUCCCGAGCGUUGUCCGGAUUUAUUGGGCGUAAAGCGAGCGCAGGCGGUUAGAAAAGUCUGAAGUGAAAGGCAGUGGCUCAACCAUUGUAGGCUUUGGAAACUGUUUAACUUGAGUGCAGAAGGGGAGAGUGGAAUUCCAUGUGUAGCGGUGAAAUGCGUAGAUAUAUGGAGGAACACCGGUGGCGAAAGCGCCUCUCUGGUCUGUAACUGACGCUGAGGCUCGAAAGCGUGGGGAGCGAACAGG